AGGCUUCCACAGAGUCCGCCCGCCCGCCUCCACUUCGCUCCAAAUUGUGGGCGGGGCGAGGAAAUCCCCGAGCCUCCGAUUGGACUUCCCGAGACUUCAAAGACUGCGAGGGGCGGGGUUUCGCCCGAGCCUGUUGAGCUGGGCAGAGACCGUGCGGCGUGCGAAGUAGAAAGCGGGGCGAAAUUGCCCCGAUCGGUCGCUCGGAGCUGUAGCCGCGCCUCCGAUCCAAAGCACGGGGAAGCAGAGUCAUCCAAAGCGAUUCCUCCCCCCCUACCCAGCAAACGUGGAGUAGCAUCAUCAUCACCACCACCACCACAGCCAACAGCCAAGGUUCAUCGCCUAAGUACCUCUUGCUCCCGAUGCCAACUCCUGCCCAGCUCGCUGCGCUUCUGCAGGGGUGCCAGUCUGGCGCAGGGAUCUGGAGGUUUGACAGCCCCGGCGGGAUCCCUCUUCCUCCCGCUGAGAUGCAGGCGGAUCGCAGCCUGGCUUGGGUGGAUCACUUGCAGCCUGAUGACCUCGCCGCGCGGUUCGAUCCAACUUCUGCCCGGGAUGUCAAAUAUAUGUUCAAAAGAAGAACUGGCAAUGGUGGGACGUCAUCAACCAUGUAUUCAAGCUUUCACUCAUAUGGUGAAGCUAUGGAAGCAAGACUGUGCAACACAAAGAUGGUGCAUCGUUUAUGAGAGAAGCUUUGUGUUCUGUGGGUAUUUGCUUCAAUGGAGGGAAAUGCUCUGCAGGAGCAUCUCUGACAUGCCAGUGUCCAGUGGGAUUCUAGGGUCCACGGUGCCAAUAUGA
Pogona vitticeps (central bearded dragon) is the source of this 792-nucleotide long non-coding RNA. The record is from Ensembl. NCBI's taxonomy places the organism in Eukaryota, Metazoa, Chordata, Lepidosauria, Squamata, Agamidae.